CCAUCCUGGCCGUGCAGCAGCGGCCAAGGGUGAGGUUGUUCGCCUAUUAAAGGGGAUCGUGAGCUGGGUUUAGACCGUCGUGAGACAGGUCGGUUGCUAUCUGACGGGGGUGUUCGGACGGCUGAGGGGAGGGAGGCUCUAGUACGAGAGGAACGAGCCUCCGGCGCCACUGGUUUACCGGUUGUCUGGCAGGGCAUCGCCGGGCAGCUACGUGCCAGUGGCUAAAGGCUGAAAGCAUCUAAGCCUGAAGCCACCCCCGAAAAGAGCCGUCCUUAAGGGCUCUGCUAAAAGAGCAGGUUGAUAGGACCGGGGUGUAAGCGGCAAGCUUCGGCGAGCCGUUCAGCCCGCGGUCACUAAUCGCCCGCGC
Molecule: ribosomal RNA, 367 nt
Filed under: Archaeoglobus sp.
Lineage: Archaea; Methanobacteriati; Methanobacteriota; Archaeoglobi; Archaeoglobales; Archaeoglobaceae
Description: partial 23S ribosomal RNA
Rfam family: Archaeal large subunit ribosomal RNA
Source: RNAcentral